AGUGAACGCUGGCGGUAGGCCUAACACAUGCAAGUCGAACGGCAGCACAGUAAGAGCUUGCUCUUACGGGUGGCGAGUGGCGGACGGGUGAGGAAUACAUCGGAAUCUACUUUUUCGUGGGGGAUAACGUAGGGAAACUUACGCUAAUACCGCAUACGACCUACGGGUGAAAGCAGGGGAUCUUCGGACCUUGCGCGAUUGAAUGAGCCGAUGUCGGAUUAGCUAGUUGGCGGGGUAAAGGCCCACCAAGGCGACGAUCCGUAGCUGGUCUGAGAGGAUGAUCAGCCACACUGGAACUGAGACACGGUCCAGACUCCUACGGGAGGCAGCAGUGUGGAAUAUUGGACAAAGGGCGCAAGCCUGAUCCAGCCAUACCGCGUGGGUGAAGAAGGCCGUCGGGUUGUAAAGCCCUUUUGUUGGGAAAGAAAAGCAGCAGGUUAAUACCCCGCUGUUCUGACGGUACCCAAAGAAUAAGCACCGGCUAACUUCGUG
This 492-nucleotide ribosomal RNA is filed under the name uncultured bacterium. RNAcentral's name for it is "partial 16S ribosomal RNA". It matches the Rfam family "Bacterial small subunit ribosomal RNA", at positions 29 to 507 of the family's 1533-position model. The record is from RNAcentral.